CAGAACUUUCCACAUUUAAAUAGAUCCUCGAUACUUUUAAUCACUAUAGUAUCCGCAUCAAGAUAUAAAACUUUCUUGUAGCUAGUCAUAUUAAAGAUUUUAAGCUUGGUAUAUACACCCCAAAACCUCUUUGGCCGCACUUGAUUAGGGUUUGCCAACAAGCUAAUCUUCUCCACUAUCCAACCAUCAGCCUCAAGAAGCUUCAUGGCGUAAUCAGAGACACCAUCAGAGACCAAAACCACCAUGUCCUUGUUCGAUCCAGUGUCUCUAAUCGACUUCCCCAAAAC
RNAcentral lists this unclassified non-coding RNA (287 nucleotides) under Hevea brasiliensis (rubber tree). Lineage: Eukaryota; Viridiplantae; Streptophyta; Magnoliopsida; Malpighiales; Euphorbiaceae. The record is from RNAcentral.